This 423-nucleotide ribosomal RNA is filed under the name uncultured bacterium. Its description in RNAcentral is "bacterial SSU rRNA". It matches the Rfam family "Bacterial small subunit ribosomal RNA", at positions 207 to 622 of the family's 1533-position model. The record is from RNAcentral.
AAGACCUUGCGCUUUUGGAGCGGCCGAUGCCUGAUUAGCUUGUUGGUAAGGUAAAAGCUUACCAAGGCUUCGAUCAGUAGCUGGUCUGAGAGGACGGCCAGCCACACUGGGACUGAGACACGGCCCAGACUCCUACGGGAGGCAGCAGUGGGGAAUUUUGGACAAUGGGGGCAACCCUGAUCCAGCCAUGCCGCGUGAGUGAAGAAGGCCUUCGGGUUGUAAAGCUCUUUCAGCCGGAACGAAACGGUUACGGUUAAUACCUGUGAUUACUGACGGUACCGGAAGAAGAAGCACCGGCUAACUACGUGCCAGCAGCCGCGGUAAUACGUAGGGUGCGAGCGUUAAUCGGAAUUACUGGGCGUAAAGCGUGCGCAGGUGGUUUUGUAAGUCAGAUGUGAAAGCCCCGGGCUCAACCUGGGAACU